UCUCUUGAGUUGAAGGUGUAAAGCCCAAAGGAAAAGUGUGAGGCCCAAAAAUAGGUUGGACCCAGGGUGACCCGGUCGGACUGACCCGGAUCCGAAACCCAACCUUCUAAAACCUGAGAAACAGGAUUCGAUUAGGUUUGAAAACCCCUAAUCUCUCCUUCAACGGCACUCUCACCGCUCACACUCUCCGACUCUAUCUCUCUCGUUAUCGUUAUCUCGAUCUCUCUGCUAUGGCUACAACAACAAUUAACCGAAUACAUCCCUCUCGCCUCUAAUCAAAACACAAAAACUAAAUGAAAUCAAGCAUGAGAUUUAAACCCCAUUCAAAUCCCUUCCCAAAUUGUUUCAGCAAUUCAGUAUGAAGUUAUAAGUUACAAGCAGCAUAAUAGUCAAAGGGAAGAACAAGAAAACAUAAACAGAUCUUCAAGACUGAUCACAUAAUCGUAACAAAAGGGUUACCGAUUUCACGCGACUCCAGCUACUGCUUCGAGGUUUUUUGAAUGAAGGUUUGUUCAAUGUGUGGAGGUCAGUUUGGCUAUGAAGAUGUUGAUAAAACAGUUAUGAAUCGGGUGAAAACAGGGUGAGAUCCUUCUAGUUUCUUUAUCUCUGAAUCUCUUCUACAUUUCUGAAGGGUUUUGUGUUGAUGGAAAAUGAUGAUGAAAAUAUUUAGGGUUUCAAUGAAUCUGUGUUAUAUGAACUGAGCAUUGUGUUCUUCCUUUUUACCAUUUCUGCAGAUUUGUUUCUUUUGGUAUGAUGAACAAAUUGAUGGUUUUUGGUUGUUUGGUCUCUGCUGCGGCUAGGGCUUGCAGAUGAGCCUCCCCUUCCUUCAAUGAAACAGUGUAAUAUAUAGUCUCUAGGUUUGGGGACAAUUCUAGGGUUGGAUAGAAAUGUUUAGGUUUGGAAACUGAUUGGGAAAGAAUGCAGUGUACUUUUGUAUGGCAGUUUGUGUUUUUGCCAAUUUUGUGCAAUAUUUUGUGAAUUUUCAUGUGCCCAUGUUUGCAUUUUCCCUCUCUUUUUCUUUUGAAUUUGGGCUGAUUUUGUUGUUUUUUUUUUUUAUUUGUGUAGGUCUUAUGCAGCGUGGAACAAGGCCUUUGGAAAUGAGCAUGAAAGAUGUUUGGAGAAUGGAAAAUUUUGAGGGCUAGGAUUAGAUUAUCAUGAACUCUCUUGUAAUCCCUUUGUUAUAGUACUUCAAAAAUGAAACACCAUAAUAUAUUGUAACUAUAUUUAGUAAACCUUGGAUGGUAAUUGGUGACAUAUUUGAAUGCAACUUGAAAAUUUGAAUAAUGUCUUGAAUGAGUUAUAAACAAUGUGAUGAAUUUUGGUA
This is a long non-coding RNA of Vicia villosa (hairy vetch), 1324 nucleotides long. RefSeq lists it as uncharacterized. The record is from RefSeq and is a predicted model, not a curated record. The transcript is spliced from 2 exons. NCBI's taxonomy places the organism in Eukaryota, Viridiplantae, Streptophyta, Magnoliopsida, Fabales, Fabaceae.